UUCAUACUUUGGCAAAAUCAUUGAAAGAUGAUGACGCAAAACUACAGGGGCUAAGGUUUUUGACUAUGCCAGCCAGUUGCAAAU
RNAcentral lists this non-coding RNA (84 nucleotides) under Paenibacillus darwinianus. RNAcentral's name for it is "c-di-GMP sequence". It matches the Rfam family "c-di-GMP-I riboswitch aptamer". Rfam says of the family: GEMM was predicted in a large-scale screen for bacterial structured RNA regulatory elements. Genes associated with GEMM are involved in a diverse array of functions, including chemotaxis regulation, signal transduction, secretion and chitin. Lineage: Bacteria; Bacillati; Bacillota; Bacilli; Caryophanales; Paenibacillaceae. The record is from Rfam by way of RNAcentral.